UUAUUCCUACGGGGGGCAGCAGUGAGGAAUAUUGGUCAAUGGGCUUACGCCUGAACCAGCCAAGUCGCGUGAGGGAAGACUGCCCUAUGGGUUGUAAACCUCUUUUGUCAGGGAGCAAUUGGCGCUACGUGUAGCGUUAUCGAGAGUACCUGAAGAAAAAGCAUCGGCUAACUCCGUGCCAGCAGCCGCGGUAAUACGGAGGAUGCGAGCGUUAUCCGGAUUUAUUGGGUGUAAAGGGAGCGCAGACGGCAGGGCAAGUCUGAUGUGAAAGUCCGGGGCUCAACCCCGGGACUGCAUUGGAAACU
This 305-nucleotide ribosomal RNA is filed under the name uncultured bacterium. Its description in RNAcentral is "bacterial SSU rRNA". It matches the Rfam family "Bacterial small subunit ribosomal RNA", at positions 333 to 634 of the family's 1533-position model. The record is from RNAcentral.